RNAcentral lists this ribosomal RNA (495 nucleotides) under uncultured bacterium. Its description in RNAcentral is "partial 16S ribosomal RNA". It matches the Rfam family "Bacterial small subunit ribosomal RNA", at positions 28 to 507 of the family's 1533-position model. The record is from RNAcentral.
GACGAACGCUGGCGGCGUGCCUAAUACAUGCCAGUAGAACGCUGAAGGAGGAGCUUGCCCUUCUGGAUGAGUUGCGAACGGGUGAGUAACGCGUAGGUAACCUGCCUGGUAGCGGGGGAUAACUAUUGGAAACGAUAGCUAAUACCGCAUAACAGUAGAUGUUGCAUGACAUUUACUUAAAAGGUGCAAUUGCAUCACUACCAGAUGGACCUGCGUUGUAUUAGCUAGUUGGUGGGGUAACGGCUCACCAAGGCGACGAUACAUAGCCGACCUGAGAGGGUGAUCGGCCACACUGGGACUGAGACACGGCCCAGACUCCUACGGGAGGCAGCAGUAGGGAAUCUUCGGCAAUGGACGGAAGUCUGACCGAGCAACGCCGCGUGAGUGAAGAAGGUUUUCGGAUCGUAAAGCUCUGUUGUAAGAGAAGAACGAGUGUGAGAGUGGAAAGUUCACACUGUGACGGUAUCUUACCAGAAAGGGACGGCUAACUACGUG